This 252-nucleotide ribosomal RNA is filed under the name uncultured bacterium. Its description in RNAcentral is "partial 16S ribosomal RNA". It matches the Rfam family "Bacterial small subunit ribosomal RNA", at positions 524 to 776 of the family's 1533-position model. The record is from RNAcentral.
UACGUAGGUCCCGAGCGUUGUCCGGAUUUAUUGGGCGUAAAGCGAGCGCAGGUGGUUUAUUAAGUCUGGUGUAAAAGGCAGUGGCUCAACCAUUGUAUGCAUAGGAAACUGGUAGACUUGAGUGCAGGAGAGGAGAGUGGAAUUCCAUGUGUAGCGGUGAAAUGCGUAGAUAUAUGGAGGAACACCGGUGGCGAAAGCGGCUCUCUGGCCUGUAACUGACACUGAGGCUCGAAAACGUGGGGAGCAAACAGG